GAUGAACGCUGGCGGCGUGCCUAAUACAUGCAAGUCGAGCGAACGGACGAGAAGCUUGCUUCUCUGAUGUUAGCGGCGGACGGGUGAGUAACACGUGGAUAACCUACCUAUAAGACUGGGAUAACUUCGGGAAACCGGAGCUAAUACCGGAUAAUAUUUUGAACCGCAUGGUUCAAAAGUGAAAGACGGUCUUGCUGUCACUUAUAGAUGGAUCCGCGCUGCAUUAGCUAGUUGGUAAGGUAACGGCUUACCAAGGCAACGAUGCAUAGCCGACCUGAGAGGGUGAUCGGCCACACUGGAACUGAGACACGGUCCAGACUCCUACGGGAGGCAGCAGUAGGGAAUCUUCCGCAAUGGGCGUAAGCCUGACGGAGCAACGCCGCGUGAGUGAUGAAGGUCUUCGGAUCGUAAAACUCUGUUAUUAGGGAAGAACAUAUGUGUAAGUAACUGUGCACAUCUUGACGGUACCUAAUCAGAAAGCCACGGCUAACUACAUG
This 497-nucleotide ribosomal RNA is filed under the name uncultured bacterium. Its description in RNAcentral is "partial 16S ribosomal RNA". It matches the Rfam family "Bacterial small subunit ribosomal RNA", at positions 28 to 507 of the family's 1533-position model. The record is from RNAcentral.